Long non-coding RNA from Notolabrus celidotus (New Zealand spotty), 669 nucleotides. RefSeq lists it as uncharacterized. The transcript has 2 exons. Lineage: Eukaryota; Metazoa; Chordata; Actinopteri; Labriformes; Labridae. The record is from RefSeq and is a predicted model, not a curated record.
GCACCUGUGGCAACAUGGCUGCCUCUUUGUCUGGUUUGCCUGCUGGUUGCCACAUGCUCCUUGCACUGAGCCCCCUGUCUGCCUCUCUACCUUGGGUGAACUGGUGUCUGGUCUGAUUUAAGGUUUGUUUGUUUGUUUCAAAGAUUAAUUCCUGAGAUGUGGAACUAUUUUAAAGGAUCCAUUUUAUCUCUUGUAUAGUGUCUGUUGGUCCUUUUUUUGUUUUUGUUUAACUGAACCAACUGGUUCAUUUGUUUUCUUUAAUACUUUUGUUAAUGCCUGUAUAGUCAGGUGGUUGCCAGCUGCUGGUCGAGGCUAGGCACUUCAGGUGGUUCCCUCCACUGUUUUGUAGUAGUAAGCGCACCGGGACACAAUAGUUUGCACUUGUUUGCCGUGUUUGCAGUCAGUUCACGAGUGGUGGGUAAGUUGCACUCCUGGAACACACCCCUUGAUAGGCUGCCUCCCCUCACUUCCCCCUACCAUUUUGCUAAUUUUAAAUCACCUUGGACUGGAAGUGACCUUUUUUUAAGAUAAAAUAAAUUUAUAUUGUAACAAGCUUUAAUAAAACUCCCUUAACUGACUAAUUUACAUCCUUACUGCAAUAACUAACCCCCUUCUUUUCACAGAUGCUCCCAUUUUAAAUUUAUGAAUAAAUUUACAUUUUCUUUUGAA